AUUGAACGCUGGCGGCAGGCCUAACACAUGCAAGUCGAGCGGAUGAAGGGAGCUUGCUCCUGGAUUCAGCGGCGGACGGGUGAGUAAUGCCUAGGAAUCUGCCUGGUAGUGGGGGAUAACGUCCGGAAACGGGCGCUAAUACCGCAUACGUCCUGAGGGAGAAAGUGGGGGAUCUUCGGACCUCACGCUAUCAGAUGAGCCUAGGUCGGAUUAGCUAGUUGGUGGGGUAAAGGCCUACCAAGGCGACGAUCCGUAACUGGUCUGAGAGGAUGAUCAGUCACACUGGAACUGAGACACGGUCCAGACUCCUACGGGAGGCAGCAGUGGGGAAUAUUGGACAAUGGGUGAAAGCCUGAUCCAGCCAUGCCGCGUGUGUGAAGAAGGUCUUCGGAUUGUAAAGCACUUUAAGUUGGGAGGAAGGGCAGUAAGUUAAUACCUUGCUGUUUUGACGUUACCAACAGAAUAAGCACCGGCUAACUUCGUGC
RNAcentral lists this ribosomal RNA (485 nucleotides) under uncultured bacterium. RNAcentral's name for it is "partial 16S ribosomal RNA". It matches the Rfam family "Bacterial small subunit ribosomal RNA", at positions 30 to 508 of the family's 1533-position model. The record is from RNAcentral.